This 167-nucleotide ribosomal RNA is filed under the name uncultured Escherichia sp. RNAcentral describes it as "partial 16S ribosomal RNA". The record is from RNAcentral. Lineage: Bacteria; Pseudomonadati; Pseudomonadota; Gammaproteobacteria; Enterobacterales; Enterobacteriaceae.
AACGGGGCUCUUCUGCGGGUACGUCAUGAGCAAGGUAUUAACUUUACUCCCUUCCUCCCCGCUGAAAGUACUUUACAACCCGAAGGCCUUCUUCAUACACGCGGCAUGGCUGCAUCAGGCUUGCGCCCAUUGUGCAAUAUUCCCCACUGCUGCCUCCCGUAGGAGUA